This 1501-nucleotide ribosomal RNA is filed under the name uncultured prokaryote. Its description in RNAcentral is "partial 16S ribosomal RNA". It matches the Rfam family "Bacterial small subunit ribosomal RNA". The record is from RNAcentral.
AGAGUUUGAUCCUGGCUCAGGACGAACGCUGGCGGCAUGCCUAACACAUGCAAGUCGAACGAGAAAGUUCCUUCGGGAGCAAUUAAAGUGGCGCACGGGUGAGUAACGCGUAGACAAUCUGCCCUUCAGUCUGGGACAACUUUUCGAAAGGAGAGCUAAUACCGGAUAACAAUGCAUGACACAGGUUGUAUAUUUGAAAGCUUUAUGUGCUGAAGGAGGGGUCUGCGUUCGAUUAGCUAGUUGGUAAGGUAACGGCUUACCAAGGCGUCGAUCGAUAGCCGGCCUGAGAGGGUGAUCGGCCACACUGGGAUUGAGAUAAGGCCCAGUCUCCUACGGGAGCCAGCAGUCUAGAAAUUUGGGCAAUGGGCGAAAGCCUGACCCAGCGACACCGCGUGGGGGAUGAAGCUCCUCGGAGUGUAAACCCCUGUUAGGUGGGACGAAUCCCCGAUUGCAAAUAGUGAUCGGGGUUGACGGUACCACCAGAGGAAGCUCCGGCUAACUCCGUGCCAGCAGCCGCGGUAAUACGGGGGGAGCGAGCGUUGUUCGGAUUUAUUGGGCGUAAAGGGCGUACAGGCGGUAGUGUAAGUCAGAUGUGAAAUGCUUCGGCUCAACCGAGGACCUGCAUUUGAUACUGCAUUACUUGAGUACAGGAGAGGAGAGCGGAAUUCUCGGUGUAGCGGUGGAAUGUGUAGAUAUCGGGAAGAACACCAGUGGCGAAGGCGGCUCUCUGGCCGAUACUGACGCUGAGGAGCGAAAGCAUGGGGAGCAAACAGGAUUAGAUACCCUGGUAGUCCAUGCCGUAAACGUUGGGCACUAGGUGUGGGGUGUAGUCAACACAUUCCGCGCCGCAGCUAACGCAUUAAGUGCCCCGCCUGGGGAGUACGGCCGCAAGGCUAAAACUCAAAGGAAUUGACGGGGGCCCGCACAAGCGGCGGAGCAUGUUGCUUAAUUCGAGGCAACGCGAAGAACCUUACCUGGGUUUGACAUGUAGGGAAAAGCCGUAGAGAUACGGUGUCCUUCGGGGCCCUACACAGGUGGUGCAUGGCUGUCGUCAGCUCGUGUCGUGAGAUGUUGGGUUAAGUCCCGCAACGAGCGCAACCCUUGUCCUAUGUUGCCAGCGGGUAAUGCCGGGGACUCGUAGGAGACUGCCGGGGUCAACUCGGAGGAAGGUGGGGACGACGUCAAGUCAUCAUGCCCCUUAUGUCCAGGGCUGCAAACAUGCUACAAUGGCCGGUACAAAGGGCUGCUAUACCGCGAGGUUGAGCGAAUCCCAGAAAGCCGGUCUCAGUUCGGAUUGGAGUCUGCAACUCGACUCCAUGAAGUCGGAGUCGCUAGUAAUCCCGGAUCAGCAACGCCGGGGUGAAUACGUUCCCGGGCCUUGUACACACCGCCCGUCACACCACGAAAGUCGGCAACACCCGAAGCCAGUGGUCCAACCCCUCGGGGAGGAAGCUGUCGAAGGUGGGGUCGGUGAUUGGGGUGAAGUCGUAACAAGGUAGCC